Molecule: long non-coding RNA, 1304 nt
Organism: Vitis vinifera (wine grape)
Lineage: Eukaryota; Viridiplantae; Streptophyta; Magnoliopsida; Vitales; Vitaceae
Exons: 3
Source: RefSeq, a predicted model, not a curated record
AUGUUACCUGCAUUCUUGAUUUUAUUAAGACUUGUGGCAGAUUUUCAUGCCUUUAUGCUUGUAACGGAAUGGGAAUCAUCAGAGAUAGGAUCCAACAAAGGAAAAGCAUAUGAUAUGGUUAAUAUCUUAAACAAGGUUGUACAUUUUCAUGUAAGUACUCUUACUACUUUUGCUCAUGCAAUAGGCACAGUUGUGAAGCGUAAGCGAGGGAAGCUUCCGGCAGAUCUAGCAGAACCAGGCAAUGAAAUUCUCAUGGCAAGGGGUAGGCAAGGAGGGUGAGCCAUCCGUUUUCUUUUUCCAGCGUCUUGUAUCUGUGGUUCUCAAUAUUGAGUUUGAUGCAGUUAGCUACACUGAUGAUCUUCCUUUCUUGAUUUUCCAUGAAAUAUCAGUUCUUGUAGUUGAUUGAAUGGCAUUCUGGAAGGUUUUAAUUUACUGGAUUUUGGAAAAUAAGAUCUUUAGUUGAGCUUGGUAGAAAUGCCAGAACAUGGAAGGAAAAAAUUGAUGGCUUUAACCACAAUUGUAAUGAGAGAUGACAGCGAUAAGGACUAACAGCUGCUGGGUUAUCACUGUUUAGGGUAUUCUAUGAAUGUGAAGCACAAUCACCUCCUUUUUGUUCCCUGGGUUAGCUCAGUUGCCACGCAAUGCGCUGAGAAAUUAAAAGCGUGGGUAGCCAUAAGAUCAAAGCAAGACCGAAAAUUGCCACCAGAGAUCCAGUCACAAUCCAUGAGCUCCCAGUGCAUGUUAACUUUCCUAACCUAAUCUGAACCAUAUGGAUCAUUGACAACGUUAGUAAGACACAACCUGCAAUAGUACCUACUGCAGCAAUUAUCAACAUCAAGCAGCUGGUCUUUAGUACAAAAUUGGUGUUGUGCUUAUUCUUAAUGACAUAGAAGUGAAGCUUCAGUGUCUUGGCUAGCAGGGUGGACAGAAGGAAGAAACUGAAUGAUAAAAUUUCAAAUACCACCAGCCUCUUUGCGAUCCCUGCAUCUGGCUUACAUUCUACUCUGGUCUUGAGAGUUUCAGUUCUAAAGGAAAAUGGUAAUCCGAUGAAGACCGCUGAUGUGAAGAGCGCGUUCACAUUAAUAAUGUUGUCUAAUACUUUCUUGUAAACGGCUAGCAUUUCAGUUCUUGUUGCCCUUGAACGCCACAGAGUUACAUAGGAAGAAAAGAUCAGUGCCUAAUAAAACUCUUGACACAUGUAAGAAGAAAAAUAAAAGAGAUGGAAGAUAGAUAUACUUAUGCUCCAUGACAGAUAUUAUGAUGCUUCUUCUUCUUCUUCUUCUUCUAUUGGUUGAGCACAAUGU